Molecule: long non-coding RNA, 629 nt
Filed under: Vulpes vulpes (red fox)
Lineage: Eukaryota; Metazoa; Chordata; Mammalia; Carnivora; Canidae
Description: lncRNA (ENSVVUG00000012103.1)
Source: RNAcentral
GUUCCCUCUUUGUUUAACCUCAUAUAUAAAGCACUUAGGUUUGGCAUUUUUGGGGGUCUCUAUUUCCUUAUAAGGGCCCCCAUAUCAUGUAAACUUAAAUAAAUUUGUGUGCUUUUCUCUUAUUAAUCUUUUGUCACAGAGUUCUAGCUGAGACUGAGGUGGGUAGAGGAAAAUUUUUUCCUCCUCAACAACAACAUAGUGGAAAACAAAGCAAGAGACAGUUUCAAGAAGGAGCUAUGGUCAACAGAGAUAAUGCCCCAGAGAGUCACAUAAAAGGAAGCACUUCUUCACUUUAAACCGACCACUUACAAAAGUAGCAGGUGAAGGUUUCUCUGUGGACUGGGCGACAGAUAGGAGGACCAGAAUAAGUGGUUAACUUGGAUUGACCUUCUGAACAGCUGCCCCAUUAAACUUCAGAGACAGCACAUCCCCAUUGCUGCAAUCAAGUGACUACAGCUGGUACUGUCCUUACAAAUUUAAGCUGCAGAAGCACUUUAGAGAGGGGUGACAUCAUAUCCAUCCAUACUGGAAGCACAGUGAGUCAUAGCAAUAAAAUAGAAUUUACCACAAGGUGGAGUUGGUCUGACCCCAGUCCAUUGUCUUUAGUUAUUAAAAUAUGUACUUUACUA